CCAAUAGCGUAUAUUAAAGUUGUUGCAGUUAAAAAGCUCGUAGUUGAAUUUCGGGAUCAAUACGACGGUCGUGCUUUCUUGGUACGUACUGGCGUCAUUGGUUUCUCCCUUCUGACGAACCAUGAUGUCAUUAAUUUGGUGUUAUGGGGAGUUAGGACUGUUACUUUGAAAAAAUUAGAGUGUUUAAAGCAGGCAUUAGCUUGAAUACAUUAGCAUGGAAUAAUGAUAUAGGACGUUCGAUUCUAUUUUGUUGGUUUCUAGGAUCAACGUAAUGAUUAAUAGGGAUAGUUGGGGGCAUUAGUAUUCAAUUGUCAGAGGUGAAAUUCUUGGAUUUAUUGAAGACUAACUACUGCGAAAGCAUUUGCCAAGGAUGUUUUCAUUAAUCAAGAACGAAAGUUAGGGGAUCGAAGACGAUCAGAUACCGUCGUAGUCUUAACCAUAAACUAUGCCGACUAGGGAUCGGAUGAUGUUAAUUUUUUAAUGACUCAUUCGGCGCCUUACG
RNAcentral lists this ribosomal RNA (502 nucleotides) under uncultured Glomeromycotina. Its description in RNAcentral is "partial small subunit ribosomal RNA". It matches the Rfam family "Eukaryotic small subunit ribosomal RNA", at positions 591 to 1092 of the family's 1831-position model. The record is from RNAcentral. Lineage: Eukaryota; Fungi; Glomeromycota.